This 253-nucleotide ribosomal RNA is filed under the name uncultured bacterium. RNAcentral's name for it is "partial 16S ribosomal RNA". It matches the Rfam family "Bacterial small subunit ribosomal RNA", at positions 524 to 776 of the family's 1533-position model. The record is from RNAcentral.
UACGUAGGGGGCAAGCGUUAUCCGGAUUUACUGGGUGUAAAGGGGGCGCAGACGGCGAUGCAAGCCAGGAGUGAAAGCCCGGGGCCCAACCCCGGGACUGCUCUUGGAACUGCGUGGCUGGAGUGUCGGAGAGGCAGGCGGAAUUCCUAGUGUAGCGGUGAAAUGCGUAGAUAUUAGGAGGAACACCAGUGGCGAAGGCGGCCUGCUGGACGAUGACUGACGUUGAGGCUCGAAAGCGUGGGGAGCAAACAGG